This 428-nucleotide ribosomal RNA is filed under the name uncultured Acinetobacter sp. RNAcentral describes it as "bacterial SSU rRNA". It matches the Rfam family "Bacterial small subunit ribosomal RNA", at positions 355 to 774 of the family's 1533-position model. The record is from RNAcentral. Lineage: Bacteria; Pseudomonadati; Pseudomonadota; Gammaproteobacteria; Moraxellales; Moraxellaceae.
UGGGGAAUAUUGGACAAUGGGGGGAACCCUGAUCCAGCCAUGCCGCGUGUGUGAAGAAGGCCUUUUGGUUGUAAAGCACUUUAAGCGAGGAGGAGGCUCCUAUAGAUAAUACCUAUAGUGAGUGGACGUUACUCGCAGAAUAAGCACCGGCUAACUCUGUGCCAGCAGCCGCGGUAAUACAGAGGGUGCAAGCGUUAAUCGGAUUUACUGGGCGUAAAGCGUGCGUAGGUGGUCUUUUAAGUCGGAUGUGAAAUCCCUGAGCUUAACUUAGGAAUUGCAUUCGAUACUGGGAGACUAGAGUAUGGGAGAGGAUGGUAGAAUUCCAGGUGUAGCGGUGAAAUGCGUAGAGAUCUGGAGGAAUACCGAUGGCGAAGGCAGCCAUCUGGCCUAAUACUGACACUGAGGUACGAAAGCAUGGGGAGCAAACA